RNAcentral lists this ribosomal RNA (245 nucleotides) under uncultured Spirochaetaceae bacterium. RNAcentral describes it as "partial 16S ribosomal RNA". It matches the Rfam family "Bacterial small subunit ribosomal RNA", at positions 524 to 768 of the family's 1533-position model. The record is from RNAcentral. Lineage: Bacteria; Pseudomonadati; Spirochaetota; Spirochaetia; Spirochaetales; Spirochaetaceae.
CACGUAAGGGGCGAGCGUUGUUCGGAAUUAUUGGGCGUAAAGGGCGCGUAGGCGGCCAUGUAAGUCUGAUGUGAAGUGUCCGGGCUUAACCCGGGAACGGCAUUGGAAACUGGAUGGCUUGAGUCACGGGGGGGCAGCCGGAAUUCCUGGUGGAGGGGUGAAAUCUGUAGAUAUCAGGAAGAACACCGGUGGCGAAGGCGGGCUGCCAGCCGAUGACUGACGCUGAGGCGCGAAAGUGCGGGGAG